Long non-coding RNA from Lolium perenne, 917 nucleotides. RefSeq lists it as uncharacterized. The record is from RefSeq and is a predicted model, not a curated record. Lineage: Eukaryota; Viridiplantae; Streptophyta; Magnoliopsida; Poales; Poaceae.
UCAAAGGUUUCCCUCUAAUUAUUUACUAGUAUUACUCACAGCCUAAAAGGAUUAGAUCUCAGAUUUCCCCUGACUUCACAAUCCCGCCGCCGUCCAAACCAUCCACCGCCGCCACCCGCCCUUCAGCACCCUCCACCUCGCCCCAUCCUCUAGCACCCUGCACCGCGCCGCCCGCUCUUCAGCGACCCGGUUGGGUUGCCGUUGUUCUGAUAUUCUGCGCCGGUAGCACUGCCGAUCAUCGCAUCUGGCGACUACCUCAACGACGGUUACCACCACUCUGGAUGCUAGUAUUCAUCUAGGCACUCGUGCUUCUGUUAAUCGCCAUACUACGAAUUCCUGACUGGUCUUCUUUCUUCCUCUGUUCAUCCCUCUUAUCUUCUUUUUUGUAGAUCUGGUGUUCUGUAAUUCUUCUUUUUUGCAGACUUAGUUGUAACGCGUAGCUUGCUGCCGUCUCCGCCUUCAUGCGUUGUGGCUGAUGCGGUGGGAGUUUCCCUCUACCCUCUCCAUCUUUUUACACGCUCGCCACGUCAACGAGCGAUCUGCCGGCCACGUCGUCAAGGAUAGGUGGGAGAGAGAGAGAGCCAAGGUGGGAGAGAGAGAGAGCCAGUACCUUUCUGGUACUACUUGUUUUCCCCUGUUUCAUGUUUUGGAGUUAUGAUGAAGCUUUAAUCUGAAUUUUCUGCCUUUCACAUUAGAAAGAAGGAUGAUUGAGUUGUUGUUGGACUCUUCGAUGCAGCUAGAUUAAAACGCAUAGAUAUUUAGAAUAUUUCACUUUUGAAUAAAUGUAGUUUACAUUGAUAGACUGAAAUGUACCCGCAGAGAUAUUUUUCUUUUGUCAAAUAUGUACGAUUAUUAUGAUAUUGUGGGGAUAAUAUUGGUUUUCCACUUAAUGUAACACAUAUGUGUUCCCCGGUGUA